ACGUGGCACGUUAGUGGCAACACGGUCUCUAACUCGCCUUUCUCUCUUUCUCAUUCUUGAUUUCAAAUUUCAAUUUAUUUUCAGAAUCUUCUCUCUCUAUAUUCAAAACCUUCUCUUCUUUCUCUCUCUAUUUGCUGUCUUCGACCUCUUACUCCCCGACGGAGAGCAGCUCUACUCGAACCCCAUUGACGAUCGACUCUGUCUGCAAGCCUCUCUGUCUCCCUCGAUCCUCCUGACGAUCGACUCUCUCGCUUCUCGCUUCUCGUCAGUCCCGCCGGAUUAAGGAGGACUCUCUGUCUUCUCUCGACUCUCUGUCCAACCGCUGAUCAAAUUUGUAUCUUCUGUUGUCGACCGAGUCUCCGUUCCAAAGAGCGACCCAAACCAUCGAAUGAUGUUUAUUCAACGGUGUUUAUUCAUAUACCAUUGUUCGUAGGUUCUGCUGGAGUUGGCUAGGAACAAGAACAAAAUCCCAUUGCCAAAAUCAAUAGCAGGGCCAGGAAUUCCUACCGCCUGAGCAGGACACGUUGAUCAACCCAAACUACCAACUUGCAAUCCCAAGGAAGCCAACUGGGUCGACAGUUGUGGAAGAAACAGUGGAUUUGAACUAUUGCUUGUUAUAGUGAAUUCAAAGAAAGUCUCUGUUUGUUAGUGUUCCAAGUUUUUUAUUGUAUCAAGGAAGCAUUGGUUUAGAAUGGAAUAAAAAGUUGUUACAAUUGACUGGUGCGAAAGGCAAUGAAUGUUGAUAUAAAUAUGAUGUGUUUUUAAGAAGAUAAGAAUUCUGCAGCAUAAGAACUUUGGUGUGAGGUCACCAGUUUGAACCCCAUUAAUCACAUUAUGAUGGUGAAAGUAUAUUAAUGAUUUAUGGUUGUGUUUAGUUCAUAAGAGCAAGGGUAGUGAAAUGAUCAUUCACAAUAGAAUGCUUUUUCAGAUAAUAAUUCAC
Camellia sinensis is the source of this 940-nucleotide long non-coding RNA. RefSeq lists it as uncharacterized. NCBI's taxonomy places the organism in Eukaryota, Viridiplantae, Streptophyta, Magnoliopsida, Ericales, Theaceae. The record is from RefSeq and is a predicted model, not a curated record.